AAGUCGAGGGGUAACAGAGGUAGCUUGCUACUUGCUGACGACCGGCGCACGGGUGCGUAACGCGUAUACAAUCUACCUUAUACAGAGGGAUAGCCUUUAGAAAUGAAGAUUAAUACCUCAUGGUCUAUUAAUAUAGCAUUAUAUAAAUAGUAAAGCUUCGGCGGUAUAAGAUGAGUAUGCGUCCUAUUAGUUAGUUGGUAAGGUAACGGCUUACCAAGACAACGAUAGGUAGGGGCCCUGAGAGGGGGAUCCCCCACACUGGUACUGAGACACGGACCAGACUCCUACGGGAGGCAGCAGUGAGGAAUAUUGGACAAUGGAGGUAACUCUGAUCCAGCCAUGCCGCGUGCAGGAAGACGGCCCUAUGGGUUGUAAACUGCUUUUAUAUAGGAAGAAACCUUUUCACGUGUGAGAAGCUGACGGUACUAUAAGAAUAAGGACCGGCUAACUCCGUGCCAGCAGCCGCGGUAAUACGGAGGGUCCGAGCGUUAUCCGGAAUCAUUGGGUUUAAAGGGUCCGUAGGCGGGAAUCUAAGUCAGUGGUGAAAUCUUACAGCUCAACUGUAAAAUUGCCAUUGAUACUGGAUUUCUUGAAUUAGUGUGAAGUGAUUAGAAUGUGUAGUGUAGCGGUGAAAUGCAUAGAUAUUACAC
Molecule: ribosomal RNA, 650 nt
Filed under: uncultured bacterium
Lineage: Bacteria
Description: bacterial SSU rRNA
Rfam family: Bacterial small subunit ribosomal RNA
Source: RNAcentral